Molecule: ribosomal RNA, 460 nt
Filed under: uncultured bacterium
Lineage: Bacteria
Description: partial 16S ribosomal RNA
Rfam family: Bacterial small subunit ribosomal RNA
Source: RNAcentral
CCUACGGGAGGCAGCAGUGAGGCAUAUUGGUCAAUGGGCGCGAGCCUGAACCAGCCAAGUAGCGUGAAGGAUGAAUGCCCUACGGGUUGUAAACUUCUUUUAUAAAGGAAUAAAGUGAGGCACGUGUGCCUUUUUGUAUGUACUUUAUGAAUAAGGAUCGGCUAACUACGUGCCAGCAGCCGCGGUAAUACGGAGGAUCCGAGCGUUAGCCGGAUUUAUUGGGUUUAAAGGGAGCGUAGAUGGGUUUUUAAGUCAGUUGUGAAAGUUUGCGGCUCAACCGUAAAAUUGCAAUUGAUACUGGCAGCCUUGAGUACAGUUGAGGUAAGCGGAAUUCGUGGUGGAGCGGUGAAAUGCUUAGAUAUCACGAAGAACUCCGAUUGCGAAGGCAGCUUACUAAACUGCCACUGACAUUGAUGCUCGAAAGUGUGGGUAUCAAACAGGAUUAGAUACCCCUGUAGUC